AGUGAACGCUGGCGGCGUGCUUAACACAUGCAAGUCAAACGCGAACAGAUCUUCGGAUCUAAGUAGAGUGGCGCACGGGUGAGUAACACGUGAAUAAUCUACCCUUUGGCCUGGGAUAACAUUUCGAAAGAGAUGCUAAUACCGGAUAAGACCACUAAGUGAGAAAAGCUGGGGACCCGAAAGGGCCUGGCACCAGGGGAUGAGUUCGCGGCCUAUCAGCUUGUUGGCGGGGUAAUGGCCCACCAAGGCAACGACGGGUAGCUGGUCUGAGAGGAUGAUCAGCCACACUGGAACUGAGACACGGUCCAG
RNAcentral lists this ribosomal RNA (309 nucleotides) under uncultured bacterium. Its description in RNAcentral is "bacterial SSU rRNA". It matches the Rfam family "Bacterial small subunit ribosomal RNA", at positions 29 to 334 of the family's 1533-position model. The record is from RNAcentral.